ACACGACUACAUUAGAUACCCCUGUAGUCCUAGCCGUAAACGAUACUCGCUAGGUGUCGGCCACGGUGCGACCGUUGUCGGUGCCGUAGGGAAGCCGUGAAGCGAGCCACCUGGGAAGUACGGCCGCAAGGCUGAAACUUAAAGGAAUUGGCGGGGAGCACCACAACGGGUGGAGCUUGCGGUUUAAUUGGAUUCAACGCCGGAAAACUCAUCGGGAGCGACAGCAGUAUGAUUGCCAGGUUGAUGACCUUGCUUGACAAGCUG
RNAcentral lists this ribosomal RNA (264 nucleotides) under uncultured archaeon. Its description in RNAcentral is "partial 16S ribosomal RNA". It matches the Rfam family "Archaeal small subunit ribosomal RNA", at positions 717 to 982 of the family's 1478-position model. The record is from RNAcentral.